Molecule: unclassified non-coding RNA, 306 nt
Filed under: Hevea brasiliensis (rubber tree)
Lineage: Eukaryota; Viridiplantae; Streptophyta; Magnoliopsida; Malpighiales; Euphorbiaceae
Source: RNAcentral
AAACAAGAGAAUACAGUCAUUGAUCAUAUGAAAUAAUAUAUUUGCGGCUUUCUUUAAUGUACUCCCCCUUACAUAUAUACAUAAAAAUGACAUGAAAUCGGUAAAAAUACCAACCCAUAUGAAAAUAUAUUGUGUAAGGCUGAUCUCUUUUUGAAAUCAUCAAAAUGCAGGCACGAAAUCCUCUUUUACGUACCAAUUCAAGAUCUUUGAAGGAUAGACUGCCCAAGGAAUAAGACCUGCAUACAUACGAUCUAUAAGCACAUAUAUUAUUUUAUUUUUUUCUUAUUUUUUAUAUUUUUUUGUGAU